Long non-coding RNA from Rosa chinensis, 1419 nucleotides. RefSeq lists it as uncharacterized. The record is from RefSeq and is a predicted model, not a curated record. The transcript is spliced from 3 exons. NCBI's taxonomy places the organism in Eukaryota, Viridiplantae, Streptophyta, Magnoliopsida, Rosales, Rosaceae.
GUUGGCUUGCUGUACUCUUACCGUCUUACCAAACCCACUACUCCACAUCAAGGUUUUGAAUCUUUUGAUUAGGUCAUCUUAGAAUUAGCUAAUAAUACAGAAUCAGACCUUAAAUAGCUUUUGAUAAUCAUCAUUAAUCCGACUAUGUCCUUUUGGAGGGUUAUUAUCCAUGUAGCUUUCCCAGACCUAAGCAUCACUUCCAAGUCCCUCAAUAGUCCGUCCUAAACAAUAUAUUGGACAUAAAGCUUGCUUCAAAGCAACUCAUCAGAAUCCGAUGGCCCUUUUUAAAGCUGUGUUUGGCUUCCAUGUAUCUGAAAGCAUACCACAACCCAGGACAUAAGGUGUUGCCAGAUUGGUAAAGCACCAUUUUAGAUACCGAAAUGACGAAUACUAUCCUCAUUAACCAGAGGAUCCAAGUUCUGUUCCAUUUGAGCUAAAAGAUUUUCCAUCAUAUGAUCCUCUUCUCUUUGCUCGGGAACUGAAGGAUGAGAGGCCAUGCUGCAAUUAAAUUUGCAUUGUCCCCUAUGGCUGGAGGAGGGGCCAAAUUGUCUGAAUCCCUUCAAAUUUGUGUUUAUGUUUCCUAUUAUUGAAGUUUCAAGGUUUCUUAAGAAGUUGAAGAAUUUUGAAUAUUUAUAAGCUGCUGCUGUAAUUACGUUGAGAAAAAUGAACACACUUAAUAGAACUCAGAAAUAAAGUAAAUUAGAGAAAAUGAGAAACAAAGAGGAUUUUGGUUUUGAUUAGUUAAUCAAACACAAGCUUGGCACUCGUCCUCUGAAAACAUACAUUUUGAUAUUGGCGGCUUUGUUGUUUCUAAUUCUGCUAAAUGACAAUAAAUGAUUUGAAUUAAGGUGUGUAUAUAUGAAUUGGGGAUUUUGUGUUUGAGAAUCCAGAGGAUACUUUGCAGUCAUGGCACAUUGAUUGUUAUAGUUUCUUUGUUGUUGGUAUGGAUGGUGGAGAGUGGAUACUAGCAAGCAGAUUAAGAGACAAUUUGCAGGACACUAUUUCAUGUUGCAUUGUUUAGGUCUAUCCCGUUUCGUGGACUGCAAUUUACAUGCCUUUGGACAAUGUGGGAAUGUGGAAUGUGAGAUCUGAGAAUUGGGCCCUGACAGUACUUAGGCCAGCAGUUCUAUCUUCGUGUAUACUUCUGUAUAAUCACAUUUCACAUUUUCACCUAUUUAAUUCCAAGUACACCAAGCAGCUUUUGACAGAAGAUGAAACUUCAGCAUUCUCGAGUCUUCAAUCCCUCUAAGCAUCCGAUUCUGGUGUUUACUAACACACAGCCACACAUCUCCUUAUACUUGCUUUAUCAGAAGAUAACAAUUACAUUUGGACUUUGAAUUUUUGUGGCAAAAUAUUAGCACUUAUUUGAUUCAGUAGCAUGUGUUUUUGAUUAAUGUUGACACUGUUCUUGGAGGUUUG